This is a long non-coding RNA of Dermochelys coriacea (leatherback sea turtle), 2732 nucleotides long. RefSeq lists it as uncharacterized. The record is from RefSeq and is a predicted model, not a curated record. Lineage: Eukaryota; Metazoa; Chordata; Testudines; Dermochelyidae. The transcript is spliced from 2 exons.
GCCCCUGCAGCUCCCAUUGGCCUGGAACUGUGAGCAUUCAUGGCCCACCAUACAAUUUCCAUGCCCAGAUAUAGCCCUCAGGCCAAAAAGUUUGCCCACCUCUGGACUAAAGCACAUCUUCUAAAAAGGCAUCCGGUCUUGAUUAGAGGGCUUCAGGAGAUGAAGAACCCACCAUUUCCCAGGAUACUUUGUUUCAGUAGUUAAUCACCCUCAUUAUUAAAAAUUUGAUUAAUUUCUGCUUUGAAUUUGUCUGGCUUCAACUUCUAGCCACUGAUCCUUGUUAGGCCUUUCUCUGCUAGGUUAUAGAACCCUUUAGUACCUGAUAUUUUCCCCUGGGAGGUACUUGUACACUGUAAUCAAGUCACCUCUUAAUCUUCUUUUGAUAAACUAAACAGAUCGAGCUCCUUAAAUUUCUCAGCGUAAGGUAUUUUCUUCAACUCUCAAUUUUUGGGGUUCUUUUUGGAACCUCUCACAUUUUUAAAAGCAUGUUGAAAAAUUGAAUACCAGAAGUGGAUGCUGUAUUUCAAUGUUGUUCUCAUUAGUAAAAGAAGUAAAAUCAUCUCUCUAUUCCUAUUCCCUUGUUUAUAUAUCCAAGUAUCACAUUAGCCUUUUCUGCUAUAUCACCACACUGCCAGCUCAUGUUGAGUCGCUUGUCCAUUAUGACCCUUACAUCUUUUUCAGAGAUUGAUGUCAGACUAACUGGCCUAUAAUUACCUGGGUCAAACUGCUUCCCAACUUCUGAAUAUUGUCACACUAGCACUCUUCAAAUCUUCUGGAAUUUCCCUGGUAUUCCAAAAUUUAUUAAAAAUUAACGUCAACAAGCCGGAGAUCUAUGCGGCCAACUCCUUUAAGACUACUGGAUGUAAGUUGUCCAGGGCUUCUGAUUUUAAAAUAUUUAUUCUUGGCAAAUGUUAAAUAACAUCCCGUUUAGUUACUAGGGGACUGGAAUGUACAUCAUCCCACUUUUUUCCAAAUACAGAGCAGAAAUAUUUAUUGAUUUCUUCCACCUUUCUGCAUCAUUAACUAUUUUACCAUGUCUCCCGAGUAAUGGGCCAUUGUUAGCUUCUCUUUUGUUCCUAAUAUACUUAAGUACUUUUUUUUUUACUCUCCUUAGCCCUGCAUGCCUUGGAUUUUUUUCCUUGAUGUCUUUAGUUUCCCUUAUCAGUGUCUACAAUUCUGUAACUUUUUAAAAUUUAUAUAAAUUGCUAUCAACAUCCCUUUUUUGCAUUUAUUUUAUAUAUAAUUGCUGCCUUCGCUUUCUCAUUGAACGAGGAAGGACUUUGGGUAAAAGUCUUUCUUGAUUGUAGAAUGGUAGCUUUUUGGCCAUCUAACCAAAGUCUUACUAAAGAACUUCCAGUUUUCAUUCACCUGUUUCCUCCCAAUCAAUUCUACUCUUACUUUUCUUCAACUUUAGAAAAUUAGCCCUUGUUGAAGCACUAUGUUGUGUGUAUUUUACUGGUUGGGACUUUUCUCCAUGAUCUGGUUACAUUCAAUAUGGAUAAACAAUCACUGAUCCCAAGGCAACUACCAACUUUCAGUUCAAUGACUAGUUCAUCUUUAAGUGCAACAGUGAGGUUCACAAUAGUUACCUCAUGUUGGGUGCCAUCAUUUUUGUGUUAAAAAAUUAUCUGACUUUUAGAAAUUCUAAUGAUGUUUUAGUACUGGCUGCAUGAGACCUGCAUGUGUUUCCCAAAUUGGUUGGUUUUUUUUGUUUGUUUGUUUUUUUAAACACGUUAGAGGUGUGUGUAAGGAGUAACUCUCCCUCUGCUCUGGUUUGAUUUGCUUCUUCCUGGCUUUGUUAAUUAACUGGGAGCAUAUGGAUGAAAGGUAUUUUUGUUUAACACAAUAAAAAAAUUAGCCCAAAUACUAUGGGAAUGACAAACACGACUGAGACACCAAUUCUUAAAGAGAUUCAAUUAGAUUGUGAUAUUAAUGUUGAAGAUCAUAUGGGGAAGGAGAAGAGAUGGUUCUCUUUCAAAUAAUGUAUUGCUGUGUGAAAGGUGUGUGCUGUCCCUCCUCGCCCCCUUGUGGCCAUGUGCUUUGCCAUGGAUGUGCCCUGCCUUAAUUUUCCUGAUUAGGUUAUCACAUAAAAGCCUUGCUAAUUUUAUUAUCAAACUGUGUCCCUUUUAGAGGGAAUCACUUUUUAAUGGAAAACGUAAUAAAUUCAGGUAAAUUCUUUACCCAGGCUUCUUACCUGGAAGGCAUAUUUCAUCUGAGUUUCAGUCCUGCCUGAAUUCAUCCCACUCUCAGGCACUUUAUCUGCAAGACACUUUCAACCCUGUUUCCUUAAAUGGAGCCAGGGCCUUUUCAUGGCCUUCCUGACUGCUGCUUUUCUCCAGGCAGCACAAAGCUCUUUGUAGGCUGGGCCCCCUACAGCUAUGUGGGAAGUUCCUCCCUAAAUUCCUUAUCUUGGGAGUUCUCUUGCUCUGUUCCGUGGGAGCGCCUCUCCCUUAGGAACACCUGAGUGCUGGUAGCCUUUUAUCAGGUCCACGUGCUUGUUAGCCAAUUAGAUGCCAACCAGCCACUUAAGCAAUAAAUUACUUACAGGUGGGCUGAGAUGGGCUUCUCCCCUUACACCCAUCAUGGGUAGACUGGGCCCUGACUCCCUUUACACCCAUCAUGGGUAGACUGGGCCCUGACUCCCUUUAAAGGUGAAUACAGAACUGGAUUUUUAGAGCACUUCACAUUUUAGUAAUGAAAAGUGUGUAUAAUGGGGGACUCACAAUAGUGAA